This 325-nucleotide ribosomal RNA is filed under the name uncultured bacterium. RNAcentral's name for it is "bacterial SSU rRNA". It matches the Rfam family "Bacterial small subunit ribosomal RNA", at positions 432 to 763 of the family's 1533-position model. The record is from RNAcentral.
GAAAUCGGUUGGGAUAAUACCCCAGCUGGAUGAUGGUGCCGGAAUAAGAAGCACCGGCUAACUACGUGCCAGCAGCCGCGGUAAUACGUAGGGUGCGAGCGUUUAAAGAAGCUGAAUGGGCCCAAAGCGUGCGCAGGCGGUUUGGGGAGACAGGCGUGAAAUCCCCGGGCUUAACCUGGGAACUGCGCUUGUGACUGGAAGGCUAGAGUACGGCAGAGGGGGGUGGAAUUCCACGUGUAGCAGUGAAAUGCGUAGAGAUGUGGAGGAACACCGAUGGCGAAGGCAGCCCCCUGGGCCGAUACUGACGCUCUUGCACGAAAGCGUG